UAAAAGUUUUAAAACUUAAAAAUUUAUAUAUAAUUUUAUUUUAAAUGUAAAUGAUAGUGUUAAAAAUAUUAGUUUAAAUAAUUUAUUUUUGAAUAAAUUUUGCAAUAAUUAGUUUUAUUUAUUUAAGGAAUUAAGAAAUAGUAAUAAUUUAGAAUAUAGACUAAAUUUGUGCCAGCAGUUGCGGUUAUACAAAUUAUAUGAUAUAAAUUAUUUAGUAUUAGUUAAUUAUAAUUUAUUGAAUUUAUAAAGAAAUUUAUUAGGUGAAAUUUUAUAUUUAUAUAAUUUUAAAAAAUUUAAUGAAGCUAGAAAAUUUUGUUUGAAACUAGGAUUAGAUACCCUAUUAUAAAAAAGUAUAUUUUUUACUAAAUUAGUAUUAGUUUUAUUCUUGAAAAUUAAUUAAUUUGGCGGUAUUUUAGUCUAUUCAGAGGAACCUGUCCUGUAAUUGAUAUUCCACGAUUAAAUUUACUCAUAUUUUUAGCUUGUAUAUCGCCGUAUGAAGAAUAUUUUAGUUGAAUUUAAAUAUUCAAAAUUUUUAUUGAAAUAAAAUCAGGUCAUGAUAUAGUUUAUAUAUGAGAAGAGAUGGGUUACAAUAUUUAAAUAAGUUGGAAAAAUUAUUUUAAGUAAUUUUGAAAUUGGAUUUGAAUGUAAUUAUUAAAAAAUUUUAAUGAUGAUUUAAGCUCUAAAAUAUGUACAUAUCGCCCGUCGCUUUCACUAUAAAGUGGAAUAAGUCGUAACAUAGUAGAAGUACCGGAAGGUGUUUCUAGAAUUCG
Molecule: ribosomal RNA, 770 nt
Filed under: Hylurgus ligniperda
Lineage: Eukaryota; Metazoa; Arthropoda; Insecta; Coleoptera; Curculionidae
Description: 12S ribosomal RNA
Source: RNAcentral